This 285-nucleotide ribosomal RNA is filed under the name Blastocystis sp. Its description in RNAcentral is "partial small subunit ribosomal RNA". It matches the Rfam family "Eukaryotic small subunit ribosomal RNA", at positions 42 to 348 of the family's 1831-position model. The record is from RNAcentral. Lineage: Eukaryota; Bigyra; Opalinata; Blastocystidae.
GAUUAAGCCAUGCAUGUGUAAGUAUAAAUAGUUAACUUUGAAACUGCGAAUGGCUCAUUAUAUCAGUUAUAGUUUAUUUGAUGAAGAAUACUAAUUGGAUAACCGUAGUAAUUCUAGAGCUAAUACAUGUAUAAAGUCUUGUAGACUGCAUUUAUUAGAAUGAAAACCAUAGGUUUCGGCCUAUUCGUGAGUAAUAAUAACUAAUCAUAUCGUAUGCUUACGUAACGAUGUGUCUUUCAAGUUCUGCCCUAUCAGCUUUCGAUGGUAGUGUAUUGGACUACCAUG